GGGUGCGAUCAUACCAGCACUAAUGCACCGGAUCCCACCAGAACUCCGCAGUUAAGUUAAUGGUGCUUGGGAGAGAGUAGUACUAGGAUGGGUGACCUCCUGGGAAGUACUCGUGUUGCACCCC
Molecule: ribosomal RNA, 124 nt
Organism: Humulus lupulus (European hop)
Lineage: Eukaryota; Viridiplantae; Streptophyta; Magnoliopsida; Rosales; Cannabaceae
Source: RefSeq, a predicted model, not a curated record